AUCUUACCGUCGUGCAUACCUGAAGCGGGUCUGCCGCCUUCGUUUCUCUUUCUUCAGCGAAUGACUUUGACUUGCGCUCGCGCGCCGCAUCGCACCCUUCGGGUGCUGGCGCUCCGCGAGGGCGCGGCACAAGCCGCGACGGCCGGUCGGCCUUGCGAGACUUGCGUCUCGGUGGCGAGAGCCGAUUUAAGGCGCAGUGUCUAAGGGCUUGUAGCUCAGUUGGUUAGAGCGCGCGCUUGAUAAGCGUGAGGUCGGAGGUUCAAGUCCUCCCAGGCCCACCAUUCCUUUCGACACGAAGGUUAUCAGGGGCCGUAGCUCAGCUGGGAGAGCGCCUGCUUUGCAAGCAGGAUGUCGUCGGUUCGAUCCCGUCCGGCUCCACCAACCAUCUUCUGCGAAGAUGGGGCGUGUCGAGUAGAGACGGUGAGAAAAAAGUCAUUCGAAAAAGAGUUUGCGUCGAGCCCUGUGCUCUGCGCCUGUUCUGUUUGACAUCGUAAAGAGAAGAUUUGUUCGAACUUCAUGAGCCGCAAGGUCUCAUGAUUUGUCGCAAGGGACGCUCAAUCCCUUGCUUAUGAUGGGUUUGCCUAACCGCGCCCUCGAACGGAUCUCGAGAAGCUGGUCUUUUUGUGCCAAUUCCAUUGAAGCGGGUCCCGCACAGGAUCUGGUUCGAGGCGACGAUCUCUUCGAGAUCGCGCUUAGCUAACCUCGCAG
Molecule: transfer RNA, 708 nt
Filed under: Mesorhizobium plurifarium
Lineage: Bacteria; Pseudomonadati; Pseudomonadota; Alphaproteobacteria; Hyphomicrobiales; Phyllobacteriaceae
Description: partial 16S-23S ribosomal RNA intergenic spacer
Rfam family: tRNA (bases 205-278)
Source: RNAcentral